RNAcentral lists this long non-coding RNA (575 nucleotides) under Homo sapiens (human). RNAcentral's name for it is "novel transcript". Lineage: Eukaryota; Metazoa; Chordata; Mammalia; Primates; Hominidae. The record is from RNAcentral.
CACUUCUGGUGGCUGCCACUCACCUGGGGAUAGUCGGUACCAAGAACUGGAAGUAGCCCUGAACUCAAGCUCCGCAAUAAUCAAUCAACUAAAUGAAAACAUAGAAUCAUUGAAACAGCAGAAGAAACAAGUGGAACAUCAGCUGGAAGAAGAAAAGAAAGCAAAUAAGGAAAUACACAAAGCACAAACGGAGCAGUUAGAGACAAUCAACAUCCUCACGUUGGAAAAGGCAGACUUGAAGACCACCCUUUACCAUACUAAACGUGCUGCCCGACACUUCGAAGAAGAGUCCAAGGAUCUGGCUGGCUGCCUGCAAUACUCCUUACAGCAUAUUCAAGAAUCGGAGCGGGCUCUCUGUGCUGUGUCUACACAGCAGCAGGAAGAGGACAGGUCCUCGAGCUGCAGUGAAGCGGUCCUCCAGCGGCGGUUACAGCAGACCAUAAAGGAGCAGGCACUGCUGAACGCACACGUGACACAGGUGACAGAGUCACUAAAACAAGUCCAGCUAGAGCAGGACGAAUAUGCUAAACACAUAAAAGGAGAGAGGGCCCGGCAGCAGGAGAGGAUGUGGAAAA